This 211-nucleotide long non-coding RNA is filed under the name Ananas comosus (pineapple). RNAcentral's name for it is "long non-coding RNA (ACOM_LNC003208)". Lineage: Eukaryota; Viridiplantae; Streptophyta; Magnoliopsida; Poales; Bromeliaceae. The record is from RNAcentral.
CAUACAGCUAGCGAUCCUUAGAGAUGAUGUGUAACGACCCAGCCCACUGGCAACAAUAACUCGUUGGGCCCAAUACCGACCCAAAAUGCUUAAGCCCAGUUAUUAUUACUAGUGUCUAAGUCUCUUAUAUACCCAAUCACAUCCCUAUUCAUAUCCGAUGUGGGAUUAUUAGGGUGUGACAUACUCCCCCCAUUAAGACCCUGACGUCCUC